GUGAGGAAUAUUGCGCAAUGGGGGAAACCCUGACGCAGCGACGCCGCGUGGAGGACGACGCCCUUCGGGGUGUAAACUCCUUUCGACGGGGACGAAUGCCCGCAAGGGUUUGACGGUACCCGUAUAAGAAGCCCCGGCUAACUACGUGCCAGCAGCCGCGGUAAUACGUAGGGGGCAAGCGUUGCUCGGAAUUACUGGGCGUAAAGGGUCCGUAGGCGGUGGGGCAUGUCGGUUGUGAAAUCUCCCGGCUUAACUGGGAGGGUGCGAUCGAAACUGUUCCGCUAGAGGGCCGGAGAGGCGAGUGGAAUUGCUGGUGUAGCGGUGAAAUGCGUAGAGAUCAGCAGGAACACCGGAGGCGAAGGCGGCUCGCUGGACGGCACCUGACGCUGAGGGACGAAAGCUAGGGGAGCAAACAGG
Molecule: ribosomal RNA, 417 nt
Filed under: uncultured bacterium
Lineage: Bacteria
Description: bacterial SSU rRNA
Rfam family: Bacterial small subunit ribosomal RNA
Source: RNAcentral